GGGUUGUGAGGUUAAGCGACUAAGCGUACACGGUGGAUGCCCUGGCAGUCAGAGGCGAUGAAGGGCGUGCUAAUCUGCGAUAAGCGCCGGUAAGGUGAUAUGAACCGUUAUAACCGGCGAUACCCGAAUGGGGAAACCCAGUGUGACUCGUCACACUAUCAUUAACUGAAUCCAUAGGUUAAUGAGGCGAACCGGGGGAACUGAAACAUCUAAGUACCCCGAGGAAAAGAAAUCAACCGAGAUUCCCCCAGUAGCGGCGAGCGAACGGGGAGGAGCCCAGAGCCUGAAUCAGCAUGUGUGUUAGUGGAAGCGUCUGGAAAGGCGCGCGAUACAGGGUGACAGCCCCGUACACAAAAGCGCAUGUGCUGUGAGCUCGAUGAGUAGGGCGGGACACGUGGUAUCCUGUCUGAAUAUGGGGGGACCAUCCUCCAAGGCUAAAUACUCCUGACUGACCGAUAGUGAACCAGUACCGUGAGGGAAAGGCGAAAAGAACCCCGGCGAGGGGAGUGAAAAAGAACCUGAAACCGUGUACGUACAAGCAGUGGGAGCACAGGUUUACCUGUGUGACUGCGUACCUUUUGUAUAAUGGGUCAGCGACUUAUAUUCUGUAGCAAGGUUAACCGAAUAGGGGAGCCGGAGGGAAACCGAGUCUUAAUUGGGCGUUAAGUUGCAGGGUAUAGACCCGAAACCCGGUGAUCUAGCCAUGGGCAGGUUGAAGGUUGGGUAACACUAACUGGAGGACCGAACCGACUAAUGUUGAAAAAUUAGCGGAUGACCUGUGGCUGGGGGUGAAAGGCCAAUCAAACCGGGAGAUAGCUGGUUCUCCCCGAAAGCUAUUUAGGUAGCGCCUCGUGAAUUCAUCUCCGGGGGUAGAGCACUGUUUCGGCUAGGGGGCCAUCCCGGCUUACCAACCCGAUGCAAACUGCGAAUACCGGAGAAUGUUAUCACGGGAGACACACGGCGGGUGCUAACGUCCGUCGUGAAGAGGGAAACAACCCAGACCGCCAGCUAAGGUCCCAAAGUCAUGGUUAAGUGGGAAACGAUGUGGGAAGGCCCAGACAGCCAGGAUGUUGGCUUAGAAGCAGCCAUCAUUUAAAGAAAGCGUAAUAGCUCACUGGUCGAGUCGGCCUGCGCGGAAGAUGUAACGGGGCUAAACCAUGCACCGAAGCUGCGGCAGCGACACUGUGUGUUGUUGGGUAGGGGAGCGUUCUGUAAGCCUGUGAAGGUGGCCUGUGAGGGUUGCUGGAGGUAUCAGAAGUGCGAAUGCUGACAUAAGUAACGAUAAAGCGGGUGAAAAGCCCGCUCGCCGGAAGACCAAGGGUUCCUGUCCAACGUUAAUCGGGGCAGGGUGAGUCGACCCCUAAGGCGAGGCCGAAAGGCGUAGUCGAUGGGAAACAGGUUAAUAUUCCUGUACUUGGUGUUACUGCGAAGGGGGGACGGAGAAGGCUAUGUUGGCCGGGCGACGGUUGUCCCGGUUUAAGCGUGUAGGUGUGUGUUCCAGGUAAAUC
Molecule: ribosomal RNA, 1508 nt
Filed under: Salmonella enterica subsp. enterica serovar Newport
Lineage: Bacteria; Pseudomonadati; Pseudomonadota; Gammaproteobacteria; Enterobacterales; Enterobacteriaceae
Description: bacterial LSU rRNA
Rfam family: Bacterial large subunit ribosomal RNA
Source: RNAcentral